Long non-coding RNA from Mus musculus (house mouse), 439 nucleotides. RefSeq annotates it as predicted gene, 40052. The transcript has 3 exons. NCBI's taxonomy places the organism in Eukaryota, Metazoa, Chordata, Mammalia, Rodentia, Muridae. The record is from RefSeq and is a predicted model, not a curated record.
UCCUGGACAUCCUCAAAACUCGUAAGGAGGGACUGCUUCUUCAUCAAAUACCUGGCCACCACAGUAGAGCAGGUAUUGCAGUUUCAGUGACCCAGCUGGUGCAUGGAGGGCUGAACGAGGUUGAAGACAUGGGAGUUGGUGCCUCAGCAGCCCCAAUCUGUCAUCAAAAGAUUGGGAAGUUUCCUGGAGAACCAUGGGUCCUUAGUCAAUUAUUGAGGCCUGGAAAACACUGUUCCUGAUAUUAGUGAAGGAAUCAUCAUCACCAUAAUAAUCAUCACCAUCACCACAGUCAUCGUCAUCAUCACCAUCAUCACCAUUAUCACCAUUAUCACCAGCAGCAGCAGCAAGAUGAAUCAACUCAGCAUCAAGAGGGAAGAUCAACCAAGCAAAAGUUUCCCAGAAGUCAUCGCUGCAUCGUUGCUCUCAUUCAUGGGCUCCA